CCCCUGCAAAAUCGAUACAUGUAUUCUCUCAUGCCGUCAUGGAAGUGAGAUUAUGUAGGAAGGAAUAAGGAUGAGACGAACUAAAGACAAUUGAAUCGGAUUAUGUCACAGUGAUUCUGUCCACUUGAGGUGGUGAUUUCGUGCGGUUGUGAGAGAGAGGGUUCUUACUUUGUCAUUAGCUCCUUGCGCCAUCCUAGGGGCGGUCCUCGCCUGCAUGACAUAGUGUUCAUAGGUAAAUACAUACUUAAAGACAAUUGAAUCGGAUUAUUUCACGGUGAUUCUGUCCACUUGAGGUGGUGAUUUUGUGGGGUUGUGAGAGAGAGGGAUCUUACUUUGUCAUUAGCUCCUUGCGCCGUCCCAGGGGCGGUCCUUGCCUGCAUGACAUAGUGUUCAUAGGUAAAUACAUAAUUAAAGAGAAUUGAAUCGGAUUAUGUCACAGUGAUUCUGUCCAUCGGAUUAUGUCAUGGUGAUUCUGUCCACUUGAGGUGGUGAUUUCGUGGGGUUGUGAGAGAGAGGGAUCUUACUUUGUCAUUAGCUCCUCGCAUUGUCCCAGGGGCAAUACUCACCUGCAUGACAUAGUGUUCAUAGGUAAAUACAUACUUAAAGACAAUUGAAUCGGAUUAUGUCAUGGUGAUUCUGUCCACUUGAGGUGGUGAUUUCAUGGGGUUGUGAGAGAGAGGGAUCUUACUUUGUCAUUAGCUCCUCGCACUGUCCCAGGGGCAAUACUCACCUGCAUGACAUAGUGUUUAUAGGUAAAUACAUACUUAAAGACAAUUGAAUCGGAUUAUGUCAUGGUAAUUCUGUCCACUUGAGGUGGUGAUUUCGUGCGGUUGUGAGAGAGAGAGGGAUCUUACUUUGUCAUUAGCUCUUCGUGCCGUCCCAGGGGCGAUUCUCACCUGCAUGACAUAGUGUUCAUAGGUAAAUAUAUACUUAAAGACAAUUGAAUCGGAUUAUGUCACGGUGAUUCUGUCUACUUGAGGUGGUGAUUUCGUGCGGUUGUGAGAGAGAGGGAUCUUACUUUGUCAUUAGCUCCUCGCACCGUCCCAGGGGCAAUACUCGCCUGCAUGACAUAGUGUUCAUAGGUAAAUAUAUACUUGAACUCGAGCGAUUACCUUUUUUUCCUGCUAAUAAAGAAUUAGGUUUUCUUUUCUUUUCUUUUUUUGGGGUAUGGCAGAGGCGAAUAUCAUGUCUGGGUUUUUUAAAACUCAUUCAGCUUUCGAAAAUCGCUUUACAAACCAUACAAUUAUCUUCCGGACCAACUUACGCGAAUCACGCCUAUACAUGUUGUCUAUGUAGUCGGGGUGCAAAUCUUUUUGAAGGAGAAGAUAGUGCUUUUGAUCUUGUCAUUAGUUCCAACUCGAUAAAAGUAAGGUGGACAUUCCUCGUUGGAGGUAUUUUUUUUGAAAAUGUAAAUUUUAGUAGAGUGUUGAAUUUUCUGCAUCAUAUAUCCUUAUGAAGAAUCAAGAUCGAACGUCUAUUUAGAUUAAUUUAAACUACAAUCUUUACCUCUUGACCGCGUACAUCAGUACUGGGUUUGUCUAUCAAUAG
Molecule: long non-coding RNA, 1548 nt
Filed under: Eucalyptus grandis
Lineage: Eukaryota; Viridiplantae; Streptophyta; Magnoliopsida; Myrtales; Myrtaceae
Description: long non-coding RNA (EGRA_LNC004987)
Source: RNAcentral